CCUACGGGAGGCAGCAGUAGGGAAUCUUCCACAAUGGGCGAAAGCCUGAUGGAGCAACGCCGCGUGGGUGAAGAAGGUCUUCGGAUCGUAAAACCCUGUUGUUAGAGAAGAAAGUGCGUGAGAGUAACUGUUCACGUUUCGACGGUAUCUAACCAGAAAGCCACGGCUAACUACGUGCCAGCAGCCGCGGUAAUACGUAGGUGGCAAGCGUUGUCCGGAUUUUUUGGGCGUAAGGGGAACGCAGGCGGUCUUUUAAGUCUGAUGUGAAAGCCUUCGGCUUAACCGGAGUAGUGCAUUGGAAACUGGGAGACUUGAGUGCAGAAGAGGAGAGUGGAACUCCAUGUGUAGCGGUGAAAUGCGUAGAUAUAUGGAAGAACACCAGUGGCGAAGGCGGCUCUCUGGUCUGUAACUGACGCUGAGGUUCGAAAGCGUGGGUAGCAAACAGGAUUAGAUACCCUAGUAGUC
RNAcentral lists this ribosomal RNA (465 nucleotides) under uncultured bacterium. RNAcentral describes it as "partial 16S ribosomal RNA". It matches the Rfam family "Bacterial small subunit ribosomal RNA", at positions 338 to 795 of the family's 1533-position model. The record is from RNAcentral.